GCGAGGAGGGGCAACAUGGUCUUCGUGGUGGGAAUGGAGGAGCAGAGGAGGAUGGAGGUGGGUGGUGGGAGCAGAGUAGCAGGAGUUCCAGGUCCAGGCGACGCUCGUGGAGUGGAGAAGCUCGUCGUCCAGCAUCACCAUCCCCAAUCUAGAUCUGAGAUAGAAAAGAAGAGAAAUAAUCUUGUGGAAUUUCUUAUCUGAGAUAGAAAAGAAGAGAAAGAUCUUGUGGAAGAGCUUGACGAAAAAGAAAGGGAUCUGAGAUAGAAAAGAAGAGAAAUAAUCUUGUGGAAUUUCAUAUCUGAGAAAAGAAGAGAAAGAUUCUUGUGGAAGAGCAGCUUGACAAAAAAGAAAGGGGCGGCACAACUGUACACCACCAUGAACAGGGGCAACACUCACAUUUACCCUCCAAAAUUCAACAUUUUCAUAUUUUGAGGAGCUUCAGUACGUUUGCUCACCGAUGAACUAGAAGUUGUUUUGUGUACUGCAUGAUUGAGGAAGUGCUAUUGCAGAUCAAAGGUGAGCCUAUUCUAUUUUCUUUCUUCAAGCUCAGGUGAAGGUUUAUCUCCUCUUCACUAAUGUUAAAUCUUUAUCACCGCAUUGAUUAGUUGGUAGAAGCAUCUGCUGGGAAUGAAGUGUUACAUGGCUGUGGGUGACAAGGUAUGCUAAGGCCAUCUGCUUUAUUGUGACUUAAGAGACUACAAUACUCUAGGGUAUCCUAAGGUUUUAUUUCAAUUAUACGAUGAGCAUGGGUCCCAUAACAUACUCAAAUAGUUAGAAAAUCUGAAACACCUCUUAAUUUGUUCGCUAGCAGUAUGAAUCAGAGUUGGGUACUUUUAGCUGUUGUAGGAUGAGAAUAUACAUAUAAUUGUUGGUGCUUUUGUGUUCAUUUAUACUAAGAAGACUAGGCCCGUUAGGGUAUGAUUUACCUGGGUUUUUUGGAUUUUUUUACUGCCUCUAAUGAUUUACGCGUGUUACCAGGGACGCACAAGAACUACUUACAUGUGAACGUAAUGAUCUUCUCUGUUCUCUCUAGAGCGUUCGUGACCUCCACCUCUUUGACCACCCACUGCUUUGACUGGGCUAUCUCUGUCUCUCCCAAAAAUUCUGGUUCAAUCCCGUGUCGUGGCUCUACCGAUCUAUGUGCGUAUAAAAAGCCCCCCGUGGCGUGGGUCUCUCCAGUCACGGCUGUGCCCAAACCGCUCCUCACCAAUAGACCCAUCUCUCCUGAUACUGCCCUC
Molecule: long non-coding RNA, 1238 nt
Organism: Triticum dicoccoides
Lineage: Eukaryota; Viridiplantae; Streptophyta; Magnoliopsida; Poales; Poaceae
Exons: 5
Source: RefSeq, a predicted model, not a curated record